CUGGAAUAUGAAGGCACCAAACUUCAAACGCCUUCCCAACAGCUUUAUGGUGCAAAGUAAGUCCCAAGCCAACACCAUCCAUCCCUGGUAAAAACAGAAGAGUUGGCGAAUUUUUUCGAGGCUUCCCACACUCAAGGGGACAAAACCACCGAGGCGGUCCUCCAUCAGGCCUAAUAAUCUCCUUGGCAACAUCAAGAUAAUCCUUCACAGUCUUGGUACCAUAUCCAUCAUCCCACAACAAUUCCAAAUCUUUUGAAACAUCUUUC
Molecule: unclassified non-coding RNA, 266 nt
Filed under: Hevea brasiliensis (rubber tree)
Lineage: Eukaryota; Viridiplantae; Streptophyta; Magnoliopsida; Malpighiales; Euphorbiaceae
Source: RNAcentral